RNAcentral lists this ribosomal RNA (253 nucleotides) under uncultured bacterium. RNAcentral describes it as "partial 16S ribosomal RNA". It matches the Rfam family "Bacterial small subunit ribosomal RNA", at positions 524 to 776 of the family's 1533-position model. The record is from RNAcentral.
UACGGAGGGUGCGAGCGUUGUCCGGAAUCACUGGGCGUAAAGGGCGCGUAGGUGGCGCGACAAGUCAACGGUGAAAGCUCGGCGCUCAACGCCGAGUCGGCCGUCGAUACUGUUGGGCUGGAGCACUGUAGAGGCUCAUGGAAUUCCGGGUGUAGCGGUGGAAUGCGUAGAGAUCCGGAAGAACACCGGUGGCGAAGGCGGUGAGCUGGGCAGUUGCUGACACUGAUGCGCGACAGCGUGGGGAGCAAACAGG